This is an RNA transcript of Brassica oleracea var. oleracea, 2542 nucleotides long. It is a transcript of the gene named probable disease resistance protein At1g63360, with no coding region annotated. The transcript has 3 exons. The record is from RefSeq and is a predicted model, not a curated record. NCBI's taxonomy places the organism in Eukaryota, Viridiplantae, Streptophyta, Magnoliopsida, Brassicales, Brassicaceae.
ACUCACUUGCAAACACCUUCACGACUCUAUUUUCCCUUUUUGAAAUAUCUUUCUAUACAUCUCUGCAACGAUGGGUGGUUGCUUCUCUGUCUCGUUGUCAUGUGAUCAAGCCGUGAAUCAGGUCUCUCAAUGUUUAUGUGUCAAACAGAGCUAUAUUCAUAACAUAGAAGAUAAUCUCUCAGCUUUGGAGACAACCAUGGAAGAUCUAAAGGCAAGGCGAGAUGAUUUGUCAAGAAGGGUGGACAGAGAGGAGAAUAACGGUCUAAGAAGACGUGCACAAGUCCAGAUCCAGAACAUUCAAGAAGAGCUUGCAACGAAACUAGGCUUGGCUGGAGAGGAUUGGAUCCUCAAAAAUGAACACCAAAAGGCGUGUGAGGUACAUAAUGUCCUAAGGAGAAAGAAGUUUUUGCUGUUGCUUGAUGACAUAUGGACUAAAGUUGAUCUAACGGAGAUUGGAGUCCCUUAUCCAAGUAGAAAAAACGGACGCAAAGUAGUUUUCACCACUCGUUCUCAAGAAGUGUGUGGCCGGAUGGGAGUUGAUGUUGAGAUGGAAGUCCAGUGCUUACAAUUUCAAGAUGCAUUUGAUUUGUUCAAAACGAAAGUUGGAGAGAUCACUUUAAGAAGUGAUCCAAACAUACAGAACCUUGCAUCUAUAGUUGCUAAAAAGUGUCAUGGUCUACCAUUAGCACUUAACGUCAUAGGUGAAGCCAUGGCAAGCAAACGUACGAUUCAAGAAUGGCAGCACGCUAUUGAUGUUUUGACUUCAUACGCUUCUGAAUUUUUCGGCAUGGAGGAUGAAAUUCUUCCUAUUUUAAAGUAUAGUUAUGAUAAUCUAAAGAGUGAACAUGUCAAAUCAUGUUUACUAUAUUGUGCUUUGUUUCCAGAAGAUCAUAGAAUUUCUAAACAUGGGUUGGUAGAGUAUAUGAUAUGCGAGGGGAUUAUAGAUGGAAGUGAAAGUAUGGAAAGAGCUCAGAACAAGGGUUAUGAGAUAAUAGGUAGCCUUAUCCGUGCAUCUUUGUUGAUGGAGGAUGAGAAGAAAGCUUUACGUGAAGUGUUUAUGCAUGAUGUUGUUCGUGAAAUGGCCUUGUGGAUUGCAUCUGAUUUUGGAAAGCAUAAAGAUAAUUUUAUCGUGCGUGCGGGUGUUGGGUUACAAGAACUACCAAGCGUUAAGAAUUGGAACGUUGUCAAGAGAAUGUCGUUGAUGUCUAAUAAGAUUGGGCGUGUUUCUGGCAGCGAUGGAUGUCUUGAACUCACAACUUUGUUCUUACAGAAAAACAAGAAGACGUUGGUAAGUAUCUCCGGUGAAUUCUUUAGGUUCAUGCCAAGGCUAGUUGUUUUGGAUCUAUCGUAUAAUAUAAACCUAUCUGAGUUGCCUGGUGAAAUAUCAGAGUUGGUCUCGUUGAAAUAUCUCAACAUGUCGUUUACAGGGAUUCAAUGUUUGCCUGUUGGUUUUCUAGAGUUGAAAAACCUUAUUCACUUGGAUCUGGAAGACACAAGUGAACUUUCGAGUAUUGUAGGGAUAUCUGCACUAGUGAACUUGAAAGUAUUGAGAUUACUACGUUUUAAUGUUUGGUGCAGUCCCAACACACUGGAGGAGUUACAAGUCUUGGAACAAUUAGAAAUCUUAACCAUAGGAAUCAUUUAUGGUUUAGCUCUCGAUCAGUUUUUCAGCUCUCACAAGCUUUAGCAGUCAAGAGUUGUCAAUUAAAAUCCUCUAAUAUAUCUCUUUUAAGUAGUAUGGAGAAAGUUCAUGAACUACUUUUAGAUGGGUGUACAUUUUCUGAUAUAAAGAUGGAUGUUCCAGAAAAUGCAUAUUUCAUGAACCUCUCUCGCAUUACUCUACAACAUUGCGAAUGCGUAAGAGACUUGACGUGGCUGAUGUUCGCUUCAAAUCUUACAGUGCUCUUUAUCUGCGAUGUGAAAGAAGUAGAAGGCAUAAUAAGCAAAGAGAAAGUUUAUGUCGGUGAAGAAUCAUCAGAUAUUGUUCCUUUCCAGAAACUAAGGACUCUACGUUUGAUUGACCUACCAGAGCUGAAAACAAUGUACUGGAGUUCUCUGCCAUUUCGUUGUCUUACGAAAAUUGUGGUAUUCAACUGUCCAAAGCUGAGAAAACUUCUCAAGUAAAGGGUGAGUCCCAUGCGUCAGUGGUGAGGUCUCAUAUUGACUAUCAUAAGAUCUUUUCCUGUAACUGGUCUCUUCAUGAGUUUUUCCUUGAUUCGUUCGGGUGGUGAAAGGGGAUUGUCAUAAAGUAUGGAGAGAAAAAGAAUGGUUAGAAGGAGUGGAAUGGGAGGACGAAGCUACCAAAGCCCGUUUCUUACCUUCAUGCAUACAACAGGUCUAACUAAUGUAUCUUCUCUUGUUUUGUUGUUUUAAUGUUUGUUUUUGGGUUAUCAAGUGGUUCAAUUGUCAUGACGAUUCGUUAAGUUUCCAUGACCAGUUGUUUCUUUACUGUUGUUGAAGCUAGGAGAUGAUAUAGUUUUUUUGGUAAUCAGAAUUGAGAAUACUAUCAAAGUUUUUGGUAAAGCUUCUAGGAUCUUCGUCA